GUUUGUAUAGUUUAAUUAAAACGAUAUAUUUUCAAUAUAUAAAAAAUAUUUAUUAUUUACAAAAG
This 65-nucleotide transfer RNA is filed under the name Polionemobius taprobanensis. Its description in RNAcentral is "tRNA-Glu". Lineage: Eukaryota; Metazoa; Arthropoda; Insecta; Orthoptera; Trigonidiidae. The record is from RNAcentral.